CCGACCUUAGCUCAGUUGGUAGAGCGGAGGACUGUAGUGAUUAAUAUAUCGAAGCCAUCCUUAGGUCGCUGGUUCGAAUCCGGCAGGUCGGA
Non-coding RNA from Daucus carota subsp. sativus, 92 nucleotides. The record is from Rfam. NCBI's taxonomy places the organism in Eukaryota, Viridiplantae, Streptophyta, Magnoliopsida, Apiales, Apiaceae.